UGGAGUUGCGGCAGCCAAGAGAAGGAAGUGACUCAAGAAGGAGGAGGUGUUCCGCUGCAGGAAAACCUGCUGGCCGGUUGCCGGCACCCUGCAAGGACAGUCUUGGUUAGUUUGAGGCAGGAACCCAAACACAUGACUGAGGAGAGAAUCCCAGGUGAGCAAGGGAGGGGGACACGGUGUGAGGGACUUUGUUCUAGAUCAUAGAGAUACUAGAGCAUUUGGUGUGUUAACAGAGAUAAUCAGGAGAGAGGAGACAACUGAGGAGGCAGCGGGGCAGGAGAGAAUGCAGAAGUAAUGUCCUUAGAGAUGAGGUUGAAUGAGAUCUAUACAAACAAGUGGGGACCUUGCUGAUAUGGAUUAGAGUCACUUUUUCAUAAAAUGAAGAAAUAUAGAGAGGACAUAGGGUGGUAGUUGGUAUGGGUGGAAGUGGUUGUUGUGGGUGGCUGGUGUGAAGUAGCAACCAAAAUCAUAAGCUGAGAACAACGUGCAGGUGUGGAGAAGAGAAUGUAGGCCCUCCCUACGAGAGAAGAUGUGAAGCCGUCAUUCUGUAAAGGACAAAGGACGAUAGGAUUGUAGAAACGUUUUUCAUGCAGUUUGAGAUCUGUCACCCUGGGCUGAAAGUCAGGGCAACCUGCAAAAUGGUGUGUUUUCCUCCCAUACUCCUGAGGUACAGGCCACUGCAUGGACAAAGAAGUGAGUUAGUGAGGAUCGGGCCUGGAUCAGAGUUAAUAGAUGGUGAGCUUCCUCCACCUUUUGGCAAUUGUGGAAAUGCUGCUGUGAACACGGCUGUUCAAGCAUCUCCUGGGGAUCCUGCUGCAAUUCUUUCAUGUAUGUACCCAGAAGUAGAACCGACCGAUGGACCAUCUUAGGAAACAUUACUGUCGGAGGUUGUCACUGUGCUGCCUCCUCUGCCAGGCUGCAAGCUCCCCGAGGCUGAGACUCUCCUGCUUGAUCCUGCUGCACCUGUAGACCUAUAGACCUCAGAACAGAGUGGUCCUCCUGGGAAAGGAGAUGCACGGCCUCACUCACUUCUCUACUUAUGUACCCUGCAGUUACGCUUCAGGCUUCUUCUGACCGUCAGACACUAUCUUAAACUCUGGGACAGGAGAGUGGAAUAAGACGUGGCCUUCCUAGGGACAGUGACAUGUGAACCGAGAAAAUAAAUCUAACAGGAAAAAGCCCGAGCAAGGUCAUGCACAGGAGCACUGGGAGCCCAGGAGGUGAACUGUCACCUGCCUGGAGAGGGGUCUUCAUAGCUGGGCAUGGGGUGUCCACCAGGCUCCUAGCUCGGGCUCCUGCUGUCCGAAAGGGUCAGGAAAAUGGCUCAAAUGGGGGAAAUUGUGGUUCAAACAAUGGAGCCUGGAGAGGUCCGUUUGCCUUCUUCCAUGGGAAUGUCGCCAUCCCGCCCGUGACCCUGUGGGCUUCGGGAUGCUGAAGGGAGAGUGGAGACUCUCGGGGUUCCUGGAGGAGACGGUGUCUGGGAGGGAGGCGGCAGUGUGACAGAGGCCAGAGAAGGCACUCAGCAAAAGGCUAUCUCAAAAGCCACUGUGGGCUUUUAAGUAAAUUCUCGAUUACAGUUACUCUAAUGGGCUUAAUAAGUCUGCAAUUUGGAGCCAGGAUGUUCUGGGUCAGUUGUCCUGGGGCUCAGAGAAAGACUCCCUUUCUUUCUGCCUUUAAGAGCAGUAAUAAGAACAGGGCCCCUGCUCCCGUGAAUUCUGUCGGUCCUCACUCCGUGGGUUGGGACCUCUUGCCCAACCAGACAUGGCCGCCUCCCCUGGAGUCCACUAGUGGGGGCAGCAAAUGGGAGCAGCAGAGGACAUUCCAGUGGGGGUGAGUGUCCAGGCAGCUGCUGCCGAGCAGAUCUGGAGUCAAACCCUGCUUCUGGGCCAUGGUAACCAGGAGACCUUGCGCAGGCCAGUCCCCUCUCUGUGCCUAGGUUUCCUCAUCUGUAAAAUGGGGUGAAAGCCACACCCUCCUCUCAGUGUCGGAGGAAUGAAUAGUCCCAGUGGAUACAAGCCCCUGUUGGCCACAGAGUGGAUGUUUUUUCCCAUGAUGGUCAAACUCUCCCCUUUGGUUUAACUUUGCAGGUGGGGAAGAGGGUGAGCUAGUUGUGCUGCAUCCCUUAGUAACAGAAUUGCUGACACAGCGAGAGGACAAGAUGUGGCCAAAGGAACACCUUGGAUUGGAGUCAGAAAGACCUGCCUUGCGUCACCUGUGGGACUGAGGCUCUGAGCCUUGGGGCUCUUCUGCUGCCGGGGGUGACAGUCUUCACAGCAGACAUUCUCUCUGCUCAAAGGGUGACUGACUGACUGACGUCAUCAGAGGAGGUUGCUUGUGUACCCCCCUCACCUGGCCCUGGUGCCGUUCUCUGUCCCCCUCACCCUGCCUGUUGUACCAUGUGACAAACAGACUUCCCUGUCUGUUUACUGUCUGUCUCCUCCAGUUACAAUGCCAGCUCUUGGGAGCAGAGGAUCUCUGCCUUGCUCACUGCUGCACCUCCAUAUCCUAGAAGGGCCCUGGCACAGAUGGGGUAUAUAAUACGUAUUUGUUGAAUAGCUGCGGAAUGAAACUGUCUUAAAUUCUCGGAUUAUUCGUGAGACUAGAAAUAGCCACCUCUGGGGUUAUUGAGGGGCUAGUUUACGUCAAAUGCAGGAGGAUGUCAGUAAAUGGCCAUGAUGAUAAUGACGGUGAUCAGACUGUGUCUGCAUACCUUCCCGCCUGGCCCUGCUUCUGAGAGCCGGGGUCAAAGGAAGAGGAUUUGGAUCAUCAUUCCUCAGAUCUGGCAGCAGAUCAGUGUCUCCUGAGGAGCUUAGGAAAAAACAUCUGUCCAGGCCUUGCUGUGGUCAUUCCGACCCAGAUCUCUGGAUGGAGCUCAGGAAUCUGUGUAUUUUAAGUCUGGAGUGGCCAGGGCAUUUCCCUUGCUGGAGUUAGAAAGGACACAAGGCCAGAGGGAGUUGUCAGGAUGGUUGUGUUCCAAGGAGGAUCCUGAGAAGGAAUUCCUACCUGCUGAAGGUGACACAGGACAUGGAAAACUCACUGUCACCAGGGAGAAAAAGAAAGCAAGAACUACUGACCAGUGAGAGCUUACUGGCUAGGAGGGCCACCUCCGUCAGACAGAAUACGUAACCCAGCCACACACAGAGCCGGUCAGGCGUGUUUCUGGGAGUGAAGAUGAGGAACACAAUGUGCUAUUUACGUUUCUGCUUUUAAACCUGACACCCUGGUAGCAGGUAGGAAGUGAGUGUUUGCAAACCCUUUGCAUUGCUGAGUGUUUAAUCUUUUAAUUAUUACUCUCGGUGUUUUUACAGUGUCAUGGUAAUAGGCAAACUCAUGGCCUCUUUCUAAAACUUUAUUUCAUGCAUAGAGUGUUUACACAACUGUGAAUCCCCCACAGGGCAAAAUACUGGGGCCAAAAGUUAAACCCAGAGGGUAAACAAACUGAAAUCAUUCUGUGUUUACAGUAAAGUAAGUGUAUACGAAAGCAAGUGAGCUGAUAUUUUCUUAGUAAUUAUCCAGAUCUGUGCUGCCCAAUAUCAUUGCCAUUAGUCACGUGUGGCUAUUUAAAUUUAAUUAAAAUUGAAUUAAAAAUUUAGUUCCUCAGUCGGCGAGCCACAUUUCAAGGGCUCCCUAGCCGCAUGGGGCUGGGGACUACAGCCUUGACGACAGAAAUACCGAACAUUUCCAUCAUCACAGACGCUUGUAUUGAACAGGGCUGGUGGGAAUUCUCCAGAAGAGCGUGGUUUAAGCAAACCACGGCUGGCGUAUGGAAAUCGGCAACCUGUGAUCAGAAAAGACACAGAAGGUGUGCUGUUGAGAAAUGCGAGUCUCAACACAAUCUUCUGUAGCUUUUGAAAACAUCUUAGCUAUUUAAAAGGGAACUGUCAACUGUGGAUACGAGAAAAUGGUCUCUGCAUCGAGUGGACAAUAAAAGUGGCAGGAUGUUUGGAGGCUCUACCCAAGAGGGGCUUUGCUUGCACAGGGAGCAGAAGGCCAGCCUUUCACCUCCCCUACCUCCUGAGUGAGGAUGGCCCUGCGGAGAGCAGCGUGGGCAGCAGGUGGGUCUAGCUUGGCACCUGCUUGCUCUUCCCGAUGAGAGGAAAUCAUAUUGGUUGGUCACCUCUCCUUCCUUAUCCAGGACAAGCUGGGGUCCUCAAAGGGAUGAGGUGUGCUGCCCACUGUCUUGGAACCUGGCCUAUGUCUGAAUGAAGUGAGCUUGAGUUGUCUCAGCAAUAAAACGUGUCCAUCUGUCGGAGAGUCCGAAGCCUGAACAGAUGGAGGACAGA
Molecule: long non-coding RNA, 4283 nt
Organism: Marmota monax (woodchuck)
Lineage: Eukaryota; Metazoa; Chordata; Mammalia; Rodentia; Sciuridae
Exons: 3
Source: RefSeq, a predicted model, not a curated record